This 661-nucleotide long non-coding RNA is filed under the name Vigna radiata. RNAcentral's name for it is "long non-coding RNA (VRAD_LNC008630)". The record is from RNAcentral. Lineage: Eukaryota; Viridiplantae; Streptophyta; Magnoliopsida; Fabales; Fabaceae.
CUGGGCAUACCGAAUCUGUAAGUGUUUAUUUGUUGGUUUUGGUUUCUCUUCUUACUUUGGUUUGAUAUGAUUUUCUUCUUAUGUAAAUAUAAUGUAUGAUAUCAGACUCUGGCUUUUUAUGUGAUAUGUAACUGAAGCAUCUUAUCUGAUAACAAGUGUUGUGUUUCAAAUUAUGUUUCAAAAGUUCCUUAGGAUUUAGAGUAUAAUUUGAUUAAUGUUUGAAAUGAUUGAUCUUUUGAUUUAUGAUUACCUCUAGAAGUAUUUGUUUUCUACUACUUUGGAUACAAACAUAAACUUCUUUCUUACUGUUAGGAUGUGUGCACCUCUAGAAGAGAUUUAUUGACAUAUGUUCUGAAUUUCAUGUAUAUCCAGCCUCUUCAUACCUAAGUUAGUUAUUGAGCUAUUGUUAGUUCAUACCGUUUAGUAGUUGUCCAUAAAUAAGGUAGGUUGUUGUAUUAUGUGCACCCAGAUCUAGAAAUGUAAUUACAGAAGUUCAUUGCACAUGUUCUUUGACCACCCAUGUCUCCUCUUUCUCUUAAACCUUCCCAUUAUGUUUUGUCCACUCUUCCCCUCCUCUUUCUCUUUCUUUCUAUUUCUUGCUACCCCUCUCCGUUUCUUUCAUCUAGCUUACCCAAAUUCCAUAUCACAAUGGUAAUAAACA